This 69-nucleotide transfer RNA is filed under the name Marmota monax (woodchuck). It matches the Rfam family "tRNA". Rfam says of the family: Transfer RNA (tRNA) molecules are approximately 80 nucleotides in length. Their secondary structure includes four short double-helical elements and three loops (D, anti-codon, and T loops). The record is from Rfam by way of RNAcentral. Lineage: Eukaryota; Metazoa; Chordata; Mammalia; Rodentia; Sciuridae.
GGGGUUGUAGCUCAGUGGUAGAGCGCUUGCCUUGAACAUGCAAGUCUCUGGGUUCAAUCCUCAACACCA